AUUGUUGAAUCAGUUUAUUCUGAAAUGUAAUUUUUAUUAAUUUUAUUUAUUUUAUAUUAUUUAUCUAAAAUAUUAUUUUUUUAUUAGUUUUACGAAAUAAUUUUUAUUAAUUAUAGUUUAUUUGUAUGGUGAAAGAAUAUUUUUUAUUUUGCAAAAGAAGAAUUAAUUUUUCGUACCUUGUGUAUCAGGGUUGAUUAAAUUGUUUAUAAAAAUUUAUGGAUCUCGAAUCUAAAAGGGCUAAGAUUUUAUUUUUUGGAUGUUUCAUAAUCUUUAAAAAUUAAAUUUUAGUAAUGAAAUGUUAUUCGUUUUUUGAUAUAUCUAGUUUUUUGAGAAAUAAAUUUAAUUUAUUUAUUUUUAAAAUUUUUUUAAAUUGUUAAUUUGAUUUUGAAAAUAUUUAAUUUUUUUAGGGAAAAGCUUGAGGAAAUAAAUUUAUUUAAUUUGGAUGAAAAAUUUAUAAGUAGGAUUGUAAAUUUCUAUCUUUUAUAUAAUGUUAUAGUUUUUUUAUUUUAUAUUAUUAUUUAUAUAAUUAAUAAAUUUAAUAUCAAAAUUUUGAAUUUAACUUAAUAGUUCAAGGAAUAAUGAUUAAAUAAGUAUAUUUUUAUGUAUUUUUAAUUUUAAAUUUAAGAUAUAAAUAAUGAAUUCGGCAAUGUGAAUUUUCCACCUGUUUAUUAAAAACAUGUUUUUUUGUUAAUUAUAUAAAGUCGGGCCUGCUCAAUGAUGAAUUAAAUAGCUGCAGUAUUUUGACUGUACUAAGGUAGCAUAAUCAUUAGUUUUUUGAUUGAGAACUGGAAUGAAAGGUUUGAUGAGAAAAUGACUGUCUCAUUUAUAAAAAUAGAAAUUUAUUUUUAAGUUAAAAAGCUUAAAUCUAAUUAAAAGACGAGAAGACCCUAUAGAGUUUAAUAAUUUGUUUAUUUAUAUUGUAAAGGAAAAAAUUUAUUUAAAUAAGUUUAAUUAUUUGGUUGGGGUGAUUAAAAAAUUAAUUAAACUUUUAUAUAAUAUUAUUCUUAUAAGAGGUUUAAAUGAUCCACAUUAUGGUGAUUAUAAGAAUAAAUUACCUUAGGGAUAACAGCGUUAUCUUUUUUUAGAGUUCUAAUCGAUAAAAAGGAUUGCGACCUCGAUGUUGGAUUAAAAUUUACUUUUCGGUGCAAAAGCCAAAUAGUUUGGUCUGUUCGACCUUUAAAAUUUUACAUGAUCUGAGUUUAGACCGGCGUGAGCCAGGUUGGUUUCUAUCUUUAUUAUAUUUAAGAAUCUUAGUACGAAAGGACCAGAUUUUUGAUUAAAAAUUUAAAUUUUGAAUAUUAUUAAAAAAUUAUUUUGGCAGAUUAGUGCAAUGGAUUUAGAAUCUUUAAAUAUAGAUUAAACUAUAA
This 1367-nucleotide ribosomal RNA is filed under the name Cryptocephalus cynarae. RNAcentral describes it as "16S ribosomal RNA". The stretch from base 1062 to 1221 matches the Rfam family "Archaeal large subunit ribosomal RNA", at positions 2542 to 2701 of the family's 2987-position model. Lineage: Eukaryota; Metazoa; Arthropoda; Insecta; Coleoptera; Chrysomelidae. The record is from RNAcentral.